GCCGGAGUGGCGGAAUUGGCAGACGCGUCGGAUUCAAAAUCCGAUUCCUUCACGGGAGUGGGAGUUCAAGUCUCCCCUCCGGCA
RNAcentral lists this transfer RNA (84 nucleotides) under Bdellovibrionales bacterium. RNAcentral's name for it is "tRNA-Leu". It matches the Rfam family "tRNA". Rfam says of the family: Transfer RNA (tRNA) molecules are approximately 80 nucleotides in length. Lineage: Bacteria; Pseudomonadati; Bdellovibrionota; Bdellovibrionia; Bdellovibrionales. The record is from RNAcentral.